Molecule: transfer RNA, 63 nt
Filed under: Staphylinoidea sp. 7 KM-2017
Lineage: Eukaryota; Metazoa; Arthropoda; Insecta; Coleoptera
Description: tRNA-Cys
Source: RNAcentral
AGCCUUAUAAUCAAAAUUAAUGAUUUCAAAUUGCAAGUUUGACAGUGGGACUCCCUAAGGCUU